UGAACGCAAACUCACAUUAACACUGAACCCGUGCGACCUUCUUUUAAAGAGCGCACCAUUACACUAAAUCUGUGCGACGCACCUGAAACGAACGCACCAUGGUUCGAGCGAGCUGUCAUUAUUUUUCAUUCGCGCAUGAUUGAUCCUGUUCGUGUCGCGCGUUUCGAGAGGAAAUUUCCGCGUAAAGUCGUGUGUCCCCGGGGAUGUGGAACAUCCCCGGCAUUUGUGCGUGUUCGCGGUGCUAAUAAUGGCCCCGAUCCCGGGUUGGACAGUUCCGCCGGAAGACCGAAUCGGAAAGGUUCGGGGUUGGCGAAUAGGUGUUGCCGCUGUGAAGCAACAAUAUUUUUAGGGACACUUCUCCACGGUGAACCUGCUGCUGCUGCACACAUCCCGGACCGCCGUGGUGCGCCGAAAGUAUGUGUGGAAGCGCUGGUAUGGAGUGACUGCGUUCUCGGUGUAGGCUGGACCGCUGGAUAGAUCCACCGGAUGACGGAUCUAGUACGACUCAGGAAUGGUAACAAGGAGUUCAGCAACUACGUGGGCUUAUUUCACUGAGGAUUGUGCUUCUCGAUUACGCGAAUGUCCAUCCCAAGUACGAAGCAGUGAAUCCUGCACCGGAUACCGACAUUCCGGACAACGCCAAACAGUAACUGUUUGCUUGGCUGAUUGAAGCGGAAUCACAAAAGAAAACGACGCUAAAAAAAGUGCAAAAUAAAGUGAAAAAAAUACAAAUAAUAACGAUAAAAAUACUCAUUAAUUUAUUGUAUUAACCAUUAACUUCAAUGUCCAUUUAUAUUUUUACCAUACAGUUUUGUGGAGAAAAAACAAUAAAUAAACGAUAAAACUUACUGUAGUUAUUAUUUUAUUCGAUGUACGGAUAUAGUUUUUACAGUACAUUUUGGUAGUGAAAAACCCAUGAAGAACUGUAAAUUGACUGUGCAAUGCAUUGUAAUGCUUGCUGUUUUUAUUAUUAAUGUAUGAUGUUUUCUAUAGUCAGGACGAGUUUUUGGAUGAAAAAUGCAACAUUAGAUUAACAGUAAAAAGUGUCGUAUUUGAAAAAAAAAUGUAUGGAAAAAUUUCGAAAUUUUUAUGGUACCGGUGCAUAACAACCCCCCUUUUUUAUGGUAAAAUCCCAAAAUACGACGCAAAUUAUCUUAAAAAACGAUGCUGUCUACUGUUAAAACACUGUCAAAAUGACAAUAUUUUUUAUCGUUUUGUAACGUUAAAAUUUACUGUAAGUUUAUCAGAAAUCUUUAUGCGGGGCCCGCAUAAAAUUAUAUGAUGAUUUGCAUUGUCAAAACCAUGCAGUUACAAUAGAUAUUAUAAUAUCUAUGGUUAGUUUAUGGUUGAUUUUUUUGAACUUCAUUGGAAUGACGAUAAAGCUAUCGUAGAUUUCAUGGUUACAGUCAAUUUCAUGGUUUUGUUAUUGGAAAUGUUAUAAAUUGAAACAAUAAAACUACCGUAAAAUUCAUGAAGACAGCAAAUAACAUGGUUUUGUUAUUGGAAAUCUCAUAAUGCAUUUUUUUCCAAAUUUUUGUUACAGUAAGUUUAAUUGUAAUGUUAUAGUUGCACAGUGUGAACUUUUUUUGAACGAUUUUUUUAA
Molecule: long non-coding RNA, 1603 nt
Organism: Culex pipiens pallens (northern house mosquito)
Lineage: Eukaryota; Metazoa; Arthropoda; Insecta; Diptera; Culicidae
Exons: 3
Source: RefSeq, a predicted model, not a curated record